RNAcentral lists this ribosomal RNA (450 nucleotides) under Salmonella enterica. RNAcentral's name for it is "partial 16S ribosomal RNA". It matches the Rfam family "Bacterial small subunit ribosomal RNA", at positions 521 to 970 of the family's 1533-position model. Lineage: Bacteria; Pseudomonadati; Pseudomonadota; Gammaproteobacteria; Enterobacterales; Enterobacteriaceae. RNAcentral also lists the same sequence under 2 other names. The record is from RNAcentral.
UAAUACGGAGGGUGCAAGCGUUAAUCGGAAUUACUGGGCGUAAAGCGCACGCAGGCGGUCUGUCAAGUCGGAUGUGAAAUCCCCGGGCUCAACCUGGGAACUGCAUUCGAAACUGGCAGGCUUGAGUCUUGUAGAGGGGGGUAGAAUUCCAGGUGUAGCGGUGAAAUGCGUAGAGAUCUGGAGGAAUACCGGUGGCGAAGGCGGCCCCCUGGACAAAGACUGACGCUCAGGUGCGAAAGCGUGGGGAGCAAACAGGAUUAGAUACCCUGGUAGUCCACGCCGUAAACGAUGUCUACUUGGAGGUUGUGCCCUUGAGGCGUGGCUUCCGGAGCUAACGCGUUAAGUAGACCGCCUGGGGAGUACGGCCGCAAGGUUAAAACUCAAAUGAAUUGACGGGGGCCCGCACAAGCGGUGGAGCAUGUGGUUUAAUUCGAUGCAACGCGAAGAACC